GUUGACCUCGGAUCAGGUAGGAAUACCCGCUGAACUAUCCUUUUUUCUCCCCUU
Molecule: ribosomal RNA, 54 nt
Filed under: Fusarium sacchari
Lineage: Eukaryota; Fungi; Ascomycota; Sordariomycetes; Hypocreales; Nectriaceae
Description: partial large subunit ribosomal RNA
Source: RNAcentral